UAAGGCCCUUCGGGGUACACGAGUGGCGAACGGGUGAGUAACACGUGGGUGAUCUGCCCUGCACUUUGGGAUAAGCCUGGGAAACUGGGUCUAAUACCGAAUAUACCCUGCUGGUCGCAUGGCCUGGUGGGGGAAAGCUUUUGCGGUGUGGGAUGGGCCCGCGGCCUAUCAGCUUGUUGGUGGGGUGAUGGCCUACCAAGGCGACGACGGGUAGCCGGCCUGAGAGGGUGACCGGCCACACUGGGACUGAGAUACGGCCCAGACUCCUACGGGAGGCAGCAGUGGGGAAUAUUGCACAAUGGGCGCAAGCCUGAUGCAGCGACGCCGCGUGAGGGAUGACGGCCUUCGGGUUGUAAACCUCUUUCAGCAGGGACGAAGCGCAAGUGACGGUACCUGUAGAAGAAGGACCGGCCAACUACGUGCCAGCAGCCGCGGUAAUACGUAGGGUCCGAGCGUUGUCCGGAAUUACUGGGCGUAAAGAGCUCGUAGGUGGUUUGUCGCGUUGUUCGUGAAAACUCACAGCUUAACUGUGGGCGUGCGGGCGAUACGGGCAGACUGGAGUACUGCAGGGGAGACUGGAAUUCCUGGUGUAGCGGUGGAAUGCGCAGAUAUCAGGAGGAACACCGGUGGCGAAGGCGGGUCUCUGGGCAGUAACUGACGCUGAGGAGCGAAAGCGUGGGGAGCGAACAGGAUUAGAUACCCUGGUAGUCCACGCCGUAAACGGUGGGUACUAGGUGUGGGUUUCCUUCCUUGGGAUC
This 758-nucleotide ribosomal RNA is filed under the name Mycolicibacterium anyangense. RNAcentral describes it as "bacterial SSU rRNA". It matches the Rfam family "Bacterial small subunit ribosomal RNA", at positions 70 to 841 of the family's 1533-position model. Lineage: Bacteria; Bacillati; Actinomycetota; Actinomycetes; Mycobacteriales; Mycobacteriaceae. The record is from RNAcentral.